UGCAUUCUCUACUGUAAGUCGCUCUGGAUAAGAGCGUCUGCUAAAUGACUCAAA
This is a non-coding RNA of Salmo salar (Atlantic salmon), 54 nucleotides long. The record is from Rfam. Lineage: Eukaryota; Metazoa; Chordata; Actinopteri; Salmoniformes; Salmonidae.